Small nucleolar RNA from Heterocephalus glaber (naked mole-rat), 93 nucleotides. Its record names the gene SNORD116. It matches the Rfam family "Small nucleolar RNA SNORD116". From Rfam's summary of the family: HBII-85 is a member of the C/D class of snoRNAs, which contain the C (UGAUGA) and D (CUGA) box motifs. The record is from Ensembl. NCBI's taxonomy places the organism in Eukaryota, Metazoa, Chordata, Mammalia, Rodentia, Bathyergidae.
GGAUCGAUGAUGAUACCCCAAAAUCAUUCCUUGGAAAAGCUGAACAAAAUGAGUGAGAACUUCAAACCGUCGUUCUCAUCGUGACUGAGGUCC